RNAcentral lists this non-coding RNA (96 nucleotides) under Fragilariopsis kerguelensis. Lineage: Eukaryota; Bacillariophyta; Bacillariophyceae; Bacillariales; Bacillariaceae. The record is from RNAcentral.
UUAUCGUCGAUACAGGAAGCGGUAUUACUGCCUUUCCUUGUAGCGGUUGCAAUGAUUGUGGUGUCCCAAAAUAUCACAUCGAUAGAUUAUUUAAUG